Long non-coding RNA from Melospiza melodia melodia, 2736 nucleotides. RefSeq lists it as uncharacterized. The record is from RefSeq and is a predicted model, not a curated record. NCBI's taxonomy places the organism in Eukaryota, Metazoa, Chordata, Aves, Passeriformes, Passerellidae. The transcript is spliced from 3 exons.
UGGUUCUUUUUCUUUAUUGUUUUCUGGAAAUAGAAGUAAUUAAGUAUAGAUACUACUGGUUUGUUUCUUCCAGUAGCUGAUAAUACUAAUACCAAUAAUAAUAAUAAUAAUAAUAGUAAAGUAAUACUACUUCAACUGUCUUUAUUUAUCCAUUGAACUGGCCAUUUUAAAUCUAAACUUCUAAACACAAAUCAAACCAUCAUCCUUGUAGAAUCUUUAAUAGGAGUGGGCUAAAGAUCCUGGUUUUGUUGACAGGAUUUAUUGGUUCAUGAACAGCAAGAGGUAAGUACAAGCCUAACUACCCUCUAGCUCACAGACCUGCCCGGUGAAUAGAGCUUUGUUUUUUUGAUGGGCUUGUGAUGACUUUGAGAUCAAUUGCUCAUUCAUUACAGUAAAAAAAAAAAAAUUGUUUUGAACAUGACAGCAAAAAUAACUUUAAGCACAACUUAAUAAUAAUAAUAGAUCACCAAUUUUAGUUAAUAAUUUUAUGCUAUACUCUUGGGUGAGGGAAGACUCGGACACUCAAUAUGAGAUCAGCAAGCUAUGUUUAUUGCAGAGAGUAUCAGACACUUAUACAGCACAUAAUAAGCUUAUGAAUAUUCUGUAAGCCAAGCGAUCUAUUGGUUAAACUAUACCAUCAACUCUUCCUCAUUCCUUUGGGCCUACAUUCCCUAUUUCCCACGUCUCUCUGUCUACUUGUUAUCCUACCCAGCUAGGCCCAGGCACACGCUAUCUUGCAGGUGCAAAACUCAAAAAUACCUGUGUUCGGUACUUUCCCAGCUCCUGGUCGGCUAACGAGCGAAUGUCUGCGUGACCUCUGUCAUGGAGCCAUUUCUCCACACUAUACUAUCAAAGUUUAAAGGUAAAUUAUUAUAUAUUAGGAGAUGGUGUAAAGUGUAUGUUGUAAUGUGUAGGAUAUAUACAAAGAUACGUACUUGAAAGUCCGUAGAGGAAACAAAUUUUUACGCCUUCUGUUUGACUGUUUGUCAUAUAUUUGGUUUUAUUUCCCAGGGAUCAGUGAAUUUUAACUCUGGAGUCCUCUAUGCUAAGGAUGCUCAGCUUAGAGAUGAUGAAAUGUUCAGUAAUGUAUUUGCUGCAGCUCUGCUUACCCAAGGUUUGGGUAAAACAAGCUUUGGGUUCCCUCUGUCUCACUGGGAGUUGCCCAAUUCAGUUGCAUCUGGUGAAAUUCACCCUGAGACCUUACAGAACCAGCUCCAACUACGUGAGAGCCAUUUGCAGUUCUCUCCAGACACCUGGAGAAUGGGCGACAUUUCUGAGAAUCCGGCGAGCGUGCUUCUAUCAAAACUCAGUCUGUGAAAUUCCUGGGGAAAACCCUUCUGUGUCCUGAAGGGUUCAAACUCUGGUGAGGAUCCAGUUAUCAGGUGCUCACCUGGAUGGUUCCAGCUCUUAAAGUGAACACUUGUACUCUUGCCCUGUAGUUUACAUCUAUUGUAUUUUUGUUAUUUUGCAGGAUUUUUUGUCUUUGCAAAAUAUUGUGCAUUUCACUCUUUGGAACCUCUCAGAUGGUUCUUUGGUGCAGCACCACCCCAGGGGACACUUGCCUGCUGUCCUGAAGGGGUUGGUGGCUAGAAUUGUGAAUCCUGGAGAGUUUAUAAGUCUUCUGUCCCCAGGGAGGUGUCGUGCUUUGUUUACUUUUGUUCUGUUGGUUAGGCGCUGCUUCUCGUUGCAAGUACGAAUUUCAAACUGCCCUGUUCUUAUUUUAACUGUUUUCCUGGUUCUCUCCCUACGGCAGGGAAAGACUCUCGUAUCCUUGUCAUCGGGCUCGGUGCUGUCCAAGAAGAUACAGAGACUAAAAAAAUCAUAAGAAGCAAAAUAUGACUGCAGGGAAAAGAAGCUGGAGAGAACAGAAGACUCAUCACGGCGGGACAGCGUGAAGACUGAAAGUGUAAGAAGAUGUGGAGGGAAAGAGAGAAUCUGACAGGAGCAUCGGAGGGACGAGUGCACGAAUUUUGCUUUUUGCUUGGAUGUAAACUCAGGAGUUGAGAGGAAUUUGGGAGUGAGAAGGGACAUCUCAGAAGGAGAAGAAGAAAAAGAGGUUGUUGUUGUUGUUACAGUCCUGGCAAAAUCUUUUGUUCUAGCUAAUAAAAGAAGUUAGUUUAAAAAACAAAAAGGAAAAAAUGUAGUGUUUUUUUUUUCCUUCACUAUGAUAUUCAUUGGUGGUAUAUGGUGUGUUGUUUCAUUUCUUGGUAUUAUUAACUCUGUGUAAAUUGUUUUUUGAGUGAAGCUGACUUUCUGGAUGGGUUGGUUUGUAUUUGAGGCAGGAUUAAUUUCAGUAGGGUUCUUUCAUAGAUUUCUGAUGGGUAUUACUGGGAUUUUGGUUUUGUUUACUGUAUGUAUGAACCUAGAGCUUUGGUAGGGCCAGCUGGGCUGCUGGAGUUUUGGGUGUGAAUUUAUUAGAUGGCUUUUGUUAGAUGCAGUUUUUAAUUUUUGAAAUGUUUUUCAAUGUAGUGGUUUUAAGGUGGUUUUUAAGAAUUCAUUGUAUUGCUUUAUCUUGUUUGUAGUUGGUGUAUGAUAAGGGAUGUGGUGUGAGUUCUUGAACAUUAUGGUUUUGGUGUUCCUAAGUUCUGAUUUCUUUGUGGUUCAAUAGCUUUUUUUAUUUUUAUUUUUUGGGACAGGGGCAUUUAUAUGGUGGGUUUUUAUAGGCAAUAUGUUUUUUAAUUUAGGUAGUGAUAUUUUUUAAUAUUUUAAUAGUUUAGGUUUUUUAUUUUCAUGGUU